This 2233-nucleotide ribosomal RNA is filed under the name Escherichia coli. RNAcentral's name for it is "bacterial LSU rRNA". It matches the Rfam family "Bacterial large subunit ribosomal RNA", at positions 594 to 2812 of the family's 2925-position model. The record is from RNAcentral. Lineage: Bacteria; Pseudomonadati; Pseudomonadota; Gammaproteobacteria; Enterobacterales; Enterobacteriaceae.
UGACUGCGUACCUUUUGUAUAAUGGGUCAGCGACUUAUAUUCUGUAGCAAGGUUAACCGAAUAGGGGAGCCGAAGGGAAACCGAGUCUUAACUGGGCGUUAAGUUGCAGGGUAUAGACCCGAAACCCGGUGAUCUAGCCAUGGGCAGGUUGAAGGUUGGGUAACACUAACUGGAGGACCGAACCGACUAAUGUUGAAAAAUUAGCGGAUGACUUGUGGCUGGGGGUGAAAGGCCAAUCAAACCGGGAGAUAGCUGGUUCUCCCCGAAAGCUAUUUAGGUAGCGCCUCGUGAACUCAUCUCCGGGGGUAGAGCACUGUUUCGGCAAGGGGGUCAUCCCGACUUACCAACCCGAUGCAAACUGCGAAUACCGGAGAAUGUUAUCACGGGAGACACACGGCGGGUGCUAACGUCCGUCGUGAAGAGGGAAACAACCCAGACCGCCAGCUAAGGUCCCAAAGUCAUGGUUAAGUGGGAAACGAUGUGGGAAGGCCCAGACAGCCAGGAUGUUGGCUUAGAAGCAGCCAUCAUUUAAAGAAAGCGUAAUAGCUCACUGGUCGAGUCGGCCUGCGCGGAAGAUGUAACGGGGCUAAACCAUGCACCGAAGCUGCGGCAGCGACGCUGAUGCGUUGUUGGGUAGGGGAGCGUUCUGUAAGCCUGUGAAGGUGUGCUGUGAGGCAUGCUGGAGGUAUCAGAAGUGCGAAUGCUGACAUAAGUAACGAUAAAGCGGGUGAAAAGCCCGCUCGCCGGAAGACCAAGGGUUCCUGUCCAACGUUAAUCGGGGCAGGGUGAGUCGACCCCUAAGGCGAGGCCGAAAGGCGUAGUCGAUGGGAAACAGGUUAAUAUUCCUGUACUUGGUGUUACUGCGAAGGGGGGACGGAGAAGGCUAUGUUGGCCGGGCGACGGUUGUCCCGGUUUAAGCGUGUAGGCUGGUUUUCCAGGCAAAUCCGGAAAAUCAAGGCUGAGGCGUGAUGACGAGGCACUACGGUGCUGAAGCAACAAAUGCCCUGCUUCCAGGAAAAGCCUCUAAGCAUCAGGUAACAUCAAAUCGUACCCCAAACCGACACAGGUGGUCAGGUAGAGAAUACCAAGGCGCUUGAGAGAACUCGGGUGAAGGAACUAGGCAAAAUGGUGCCGUAACUUCGGGAGAAGGCACGCUGAUAUGUAGGUGAAGUCCCUCGCGGAUGGAGCUGAAAUCAGUCGAAGAUACCAGCUGGCUGCAACUGUUUAUUAAAAACACAGCACUGUGCAAACACGAAAGUGGACGUAUACGGUGUGACGCCUGCCCGGUGCCGGAAGGUUAAUUGAUGGGGUCAGCGCAAGCGAAGCUCUUGAUCGAAGCCCCGGUAAACGGCGGCCGUAACUAUAACGGUCCUAAGGUAGCGAAAUUCCUUGUCGGGUAAGUUCCGACCUGCACGAAUGGCGUAAUGAUGGCCAGGCUGUCUCCACCCGAGACUCAGUGAAAUUGAACUCGCUGUGAAGAUGCAGUGUACCCGCGGCAAGACGGAAAGACCCCGUGAACCUUUACUAUAGCUUGACACUGAACAUUGAGCCUUGAUGUGUAGGAUAGGUGGGAGGCUUAGAAGUGUGGACGCCAGUCUGCAUGGAGCCGACCUUGAAAUACCACCCUUUAAUGUUUGAUGUUCUAACGUUGACCCGUAAUCCGGGUUGCGGACAGUGUCUGGUGGGUAGUUUGACUGGGGCGGUCUCCUCCUAAAGAGUAACGGAGGAGCACGAAGGUUGGCUAAUCCUGGUCGGACAUCAGGAGGUUAGUGCAAUGGCAUAAGCCAGCUUGACUGCGAGCGUGACGGCGCGAGCAGGUGCGAAAGCAGGUCAUAGUGAUCCGGUGGUUCUGAAUGGAAGGGCCAUCGCUCAACGGAUAAAAGGUACUCCGGGGAUAACAGGCUGAUACCGCCCAAGAGUUCAUAUCGACGGCGGUGUUUGGCACCUCGAUGUCGGCUCAUCACAUCCUGGGGCUGAAGUAGGUCCCAAGGGUAUGGCUGUUCGCCAUUUAAAGUGGUACGCGAGCUGGGUUUAGAACGUCGUGAGACAGUUCGGUCCCUAUCUGCCGUGGGCGCUGGAGAACUGAGGGGGGCUGCUCCUAGUACGAGAGGACCGGAGUGGACGCAUCACUGGUGUUCGGGUUGUCAUGCCAAUGGCACUGCCCGGUAGCUAAAUGCGGAAGAGAUAAGUGCUGAAAGCAUCUAAGCACGAAACUUGCCCCGAGAUGAGUUCU